GUGGGGAAUAUUGCACAAUGGGCGAAAGCCUGAUGCAGCAACGCCGCGUGAAGGAAGAAGGCCUUCGGGUCGUAAACUUCUGUCCUUGGGGAAGAAGAACUGACGGUACCCAAGGAGGAAGCCCCGGCUAACUACGUGCCAGCAGCCGCGGUAAUACGUAGGGGGCAAGCGUUAUCCGGAAUUAUUGGGCGUAAAGAGUACGUAGGUGGCAACCUAAGCGCAGGGUUUAAGGCAAUGGCUUAACCAUUGUUCGCCCUGCGAACUGGGAUGCUUGAGUGCAGGAGAGGAAAGCGGAAUUCCUAGUGUAGCGGUGAAAUGCGUAGAUAUUAGGAGGAACACCAGUGGCGAAGGCGGCUUUCUGGACUGUAACUGACACUGAGGUACGAAAGCGUGGGGAGCAAACAGG
RNAcentral lists this ribosomal RNA (406 nucleotides) under bacterium. RNAcentral describes it as "bacterial SSU rRNA". It matches the Rfam family "Bacterial small subunit ribosomal RNA", at positions 354 to 776 of the family's 1533-position model. The record is from RNAcentral. RNAcentral also lists the same sequence under 1 other name.